This 2767-nucleotide long non-coding RNA is filed under the name Daphnia pulex (common water flea). Its description in RNAcentral is "uncharacterized LOC124199496". The record is from RNAcentral. Lineage: Eukaryota; Metazoa; Arthropoda; Branchiopoda; Diplostraca; Daphniidae.
CGCAUAACAGUUGAAAACAAAAAGUGAAAGCCAAAAUAACAGGCGUUUCGUUCGUUCGCUUAUAUACUCUGUAUUUUUAUUUUAUUUUUGCUGUUUCACUGUUUUUUUUCGUUGUCAGUACAAGACAUGUCACGCCUUCUUUGAGUUCUCUAUCCUUUUUUCGUCAUAUAACGCUGUGGUUAAGGUAACCAAUGGUUUCCUAGCCAUCAUUCAACUGAUACAAAUCCCGAUACUGAUCCCCUUGUGUGCUCACGAAUGUUUGUGAUUAAUGGAGACAAUAAAAAUGGAUGGAUGUUUAUAGUUACCUGUAGAGUUCCCCAAAAAAAAGUGUUGUGUGGCCGCAGUCCCGCGUUUGAGCACAUUUUUACACAGUCGAUACACAAGCGAGAAAAGGAAUAUUGCGUUGGGUAUGCAAAUGAUUGGUUGAAAAUUUUAGCCAAUCUUGGGCAACGCAUAUUUUCCAAUGCAAAGAUAUGCAAAUAAAUCAGCACGAAAUGCUCUGGGUAGACAAGAUCUAGUCACGUUUAGUUUUGUUCCCUAAAUAACAUGGAAAUAAUUCUGAACUUGUAUACAAUACAUAGAGAACUUCCUCUUCUUUCUCUAAAUAUUCGUCUGCCUGGAAGUUGAACCAAGGAACCGAAAAGUCUUGGCUAAAGCAGACCAAGAGCAGUCACGCCUAACAAACCACAACACAGUUAAACAAAGAUUUCGUGGAAAAUACGCUUGACUCAACUACCGUUGGCCAGCAGAAAUCCUGUUGACGUGAUCCAUUUCAAGAUGCCAACUGUUAUGAAUUUUUCAAGUCGAGGGUAACAAAAUUUCAGACGAAACUGCAGCCCAAUGUUGCAAAAACCUUUUUGUAAACUGAAAGAAUUUCCUGCGCUAUUACAAAAGCAUUUUUUUUUGUAUUUUAGUUUUUUUAUUUUUACCUUUUUUCUGUUUUCAAUUUUUUUUCAUUCACGAUCAGUUUGUAAGAAUUCGACCCAAUAAAAAAUAGACCAUAGAUGGACACGCAGAUUUUUUUUCAAACACUGAAGAGACACAGCAAAAUGGUUUUUGUUCAAAAAAAGUUCAAUGGUAAAAAAACGAAAUUCUAUUGGAGAAGACUGUGACAGACUGUCUGAGGGAAAUUGUGGGGAUGCGGUAAAGAGGAGAAAAAAAAAUAACUUUCAAAAAUCGGACGAGAUGUUACAUUUUUUUUUGAAAGAUCCGGCAAGGGCAUGGGGUUUUUUCGUUUGUACACUCUCAUUUUGGUGGUAUGCACGGCAAUUCAUUGAUAAAUCCUUUAGAUAUCAGCAGAGGGGCGUUAAGACGACAGAAUAAACACUCAAUAAUUGGCCCGCGUUUCCAAUAAUGUCAUCCUCCUUGAACAAAUUGGCAAUUUUCGCUAUAGAUAGGUCACAGAAUCAAAAUGACGUUGCAAAGUACAAUGAUUUAAAUCUGUACAGCGUGGAUUACGGGAUUGAUAAGAAAGGAGGCGCGGGAUAUCGAGUCAUCACUUCAAAAAAUAAUAAAAAUCAAGUCGGUGGCGAGGGCGCACGAGUCAAUUUGAACAGCACGGGAGUAAAAUUGUUUUUAAAACGCUCACGGUUUCCUUUUUCCUAACUUAUGUUUGCAAAGAUAUUUUCACAUGGACAAAAACAUGAACAUGGACAUACUGUUGAUCACGCGCAACCAGACUGUUUUCUUUUUUUUCAAACGUUUCAAAUUUUUGAGACCCGGAGUUUUUUCUUUUUGCAGCAGUGGCAGUUUAAAAAAAAAUACGAACAAAUGAAUUCGAGUUAAUUUGACAGGAAAAAAAAUAAUAGAUCACGGCAUUGCAAGAUUUAAAAAUAAUAAACAAGAGGACAAACCCUUCGCAUUAUAUCAAUGUCAUCAUCAAUAAACCCUUUUUGCUCUCAAAUUUUCAUCAAACGGGAUCGCACAAAUUAUUUUUUCAAAAGACGAAGUAUUCAACUGGCGUCCCAGCCCAAAUUGCACGGGUAUCUUUCUCAAGUGGAUCUUCCUAACAUAAAACAUCUUGAUUCUAUCGAUCGAUGAAACAACAUUCAUGUGACCAUCAAAAUCAAUAAUAGUUAAUAAUAGAAAAUAAAAUAACCAAAACAUCCAUCCAGUGUAGAUCAAAAUCAGAAAAAAACAGGGCCAUGGGGGGUGGUGGUAAUCGGGAUGUGAGGGAGAGAAGCUAUGCAUAUGCUUUCACGAAGCAGCAAAGAUUACAUUUUGUCAAACUGAAAAGGUCACCAGGAUUUCGUUACCCAAGUCACCCUGACCUCCCAGAUUUUUUUGUAAGCAUCUAUGUAAACCAGCAGAAAUAUCGGGAAAUUGGAAUCAAUAAGAUAUGAAGGCCCUACAAUCCAAUUAUGGUUAUUUGUCUUUUUUUUUGUUUAGCUUACUAUCAAUUCAAAAUACGCAACGAGCACACAAGACACUAAAUAAUGAAUCCAUGGAUUUUAGUAUGCUUAAGACAAGUAUUUCAAAAUUGAAUCCCAAAAAAUUUUCUUUAAGUUUUGACAAACAUCCACCAUCGUUUAACUGAAAUUUCUAAAUAAGCCUACACCUAGUACAAAGAAAAAUUUAAGGGAGUUUGUUUAAAUAAUGUUCUACUCGUUAUCAACGGACAAAAAAAAAUUGGGGAAUUGAGGCGGGUUAUAUAAGAGGUCAGCUCGAGACAAUUUGGGGGAGGGGGCGAGAAUGGGACAAAACUCACGAUCAAUCAUUGAAGUGGACACAUUACUUCCUCGAUUUUGAGAAAUAAACUCGGGACAUC